UACGAAGGGGGCGAGCGUUGUUCGGAUUUACUGGGCGUAAAGGGCGCGUAGGCGGCGGGUCAAGUCGAGUGUGAAAGCCCCGGGCUCAACCUGGGAAUUGCGCUCGAGACUGGUCUGCUUGAGUUCGGGAGAGGAGAGUGGAAUUCCCAGUGUAGAGGUGAAAUUCGUAGAUAUUGGGAAGAACACCGGUGGCGAAGGCGGCUCUCUGGACCGAGACUGACGCUGAGGAGCGAAAGCCAGGGGAGCAAACGGG
This 253-nucleotide ribosomal RNA is filed under the name uncultured bacterium. Its description in RNAcentral is "partial 16S ribosomal RNA". It matches the Rfam family "Bacterial small subunit ribosomal RNA", at positions 524 to 776 of the family's 1533-position model. The record is from RNAcentral.